Crenichthys baileyi (White River springfish) is the source of this 89-nucleotide non-coding RNA. The record is from the annotation of a GenBank genome assembly. Lineage: Eukaryota; Metazoa; Chordata; Actinopteri; Cyprinodontiformes; Goodeidae.
GGUUCUGGAUGGCUCAGUGGGUAGAGCAGGCGUGCCUGGCUAUAGUCCAAGAUGCGGCUGUCCUGGGUUUGAUUCUCCAUCUCGGGCCA